AGAAUGUAGUAUUUAGAAAGAAAGGAUAAGCAACCUCUUGGUCACUUUCGGAUUGAAUUUUCCAUUUCUGCCGGUGUUUCCUGUCCAAUCAACUCAUUAUGAUAUCGAAUUCACUGGGAUUGAGGAAGUGGCUGAUUGUGACCCUCUCUGAAAACGAGUUGGAAAUAUUUAGAUAGAUAUUCCUGAGCUGAAAGUCAUUGUGCAAGGUUACCUGACCUAGACAGUGGAAUGCUUUGAUGCAGUCUCCUAGAUGUACUUGUUGGUGAUCCGUGUGUGGUGUGGUUCCUGAAGGACUAUCUUUAAAAAAAGUGAUCUUACCAUCAGCACUGGGAUCAAGAUGGAUGCUACAACUCUGGAGAUAACUACCCUUGAGAGUACUGCAACUAUGGCACCAGAUGAAGGCUCUCUGUAUGCUACUAGGAGCCAAGCUGUAUUUGUCGCCUCUGUACUCAUCAUCAUCGGACUGCUUGGCCUACUUGGCAAUUUGAUGGUAUUCCUGGCAGUCUCUUUGUCCAGGAGUCUGCAGGACACAACCCACGUUUUUGUGGUGAGUCUGGCCAUCUCUGAUUUCAUCACAUCACUGGCCCUGCUGUUCGAGGGCAUCUCCGUGCUCUCAGAGACUGGAUGGCCAUUUGGCUCUGACCUGUGCAAGCUUUCCGGAGCUCUGCUGAUCUUGACUGUCCCGACCAGCAUCGUGACUUUAAAUGCAAUUGCGAUCAACCGUUACGUCCUCAUCACCAGGAGCAAGACGCUUUUCCUCAAGAUCUACACCCGCACUCAUGUUGCUGUAAUGGUGGCCAUAACAUGGAUUGUUCCAUUUCUUGUGAUAGUAGUACCACAGCUAAUUCCUGCAACCGGGGGUUUAGAGUAUGAUCCUAAAUCCAGAUUCUGUAGUUGGGACUUGGAGCAUAAUCUUUUGGAAGUGUUUCGAAUCAUACUCCUUGUAGGUUCCAUCUGCUGUUCGAUUCUGAUAAUCUUCUGCUAUAUGGCCAUCCUUCUCUUUGUCCGGAAACAGAUCAAGUCAACAAAGGACAGAUGGAGGACAUCUGAUGUUGAUACCAACAAGACAAAGACACCACCUAGUCGUCUGAGCAAGAAACAGAUUGAUAUCACCAUAAACCUGGCUAUCGUUGUAGUGGUCUUCUUCAUUUGCCUUCUGCCGUAUUCCAUCAAUCUUGCGUCGUAUGAAGACACACUUGUCACAACUCUCCUGUAUUUGCUUCUCACUCUCUCCACCUGUAUCAAUCCCGUGUUAUAUGCUGUAAAGCAUCCCACCUUCAAAGCAGUUUUCAAGUGCAUGGUUUCCUGCAGGUUCAAGGAUAUUCCUCACCCGUCAGCAUGGCUCAAGAAUGUCAUCAAGGCCCCCAGGCCUAAACCCUCUGAACCUACUGAUACACCAUCCACCGAUCUUUAACUGUGAUAUAUGUUUGCAAACAUCUCCAUUUCAGGACUGUUCCAAAUGAAUGGUUUCCUGAGGUUUUGCCGAUGUACACGUGCGUCACCCAUAUGCAUGCUGUCCAUGAGUCAAGUGUGGCUUCAUCUUGAAACUUGAUUGUCAAAUUGCUGCAAUGUCUCUGUAAAAAUCUUUUGAAAGAACAGUUAAUUUGCCCUUAUCAUGAAACAUUGACAUCGCAUAAUUACACUUGUCACUCCAAACCCAUGUUUGACAUAUUAGCCUUACUCAAAUGCAGUAGGCUUGGACUGAGAUCCGAAGAUUGCAUUGCAUUUAGAUGUAAAUUAAAAAAAAACCUAACGAAUCAGCCCACAUUACCUUUCUAAUAUUGAGAAUACAUGUAGUGUAAUGUGUUUUUACAUUAAAAUGAGACCAUUGAAUGUGUUUUUCAUUUCCUCAUGUUUUUUCAGUCCUAAUUAAGAACUGAGGAGGCGGUAAAUAAUCAUAGAUUAAUUAUACUCCUGCUAAGGCUUACAAAGAUUUCCAGAGUGAAAGGAUGAUACAUAUAUAUUUUUCAGAAACACUUGUAAUGUAAUUAACAUUUCAUUUCUGUGUGAUUUUGUUUUACUGCUAUCAUAUUUUCUAAAUAAACAAUUUAGGGGAAAAAUAAUAAUUAUUAAUCUGUUCAUAAUUUCUUUGAAUUCUGCUGUUUUAAUUCAGUAUUUUUAUGAUAGAAACUAUUCUAAAAGUUUCACUUGCUAUCACAGUCAUUCCAUAUCCUUAGAGUUCAUGUGGUAGAAAGUUAGGGAGAAUUAAAAAAAAAAGAGGUGCAUUUACUGAAAUGUUAGAGGAUGAGGUUGGGUCCGACUAAUCGACUCUAUUAGAGUUGAAGGUCAGAUUGCAUAUUAUUAUUGGGAAUGAGAGCAUUGUUUACAUUUCUCAAACUCAUUGUUCUCUAACCUACCACAAAAUAGAUGUGACAAAACUUCAACGUCUAUAAAGUUCUGCUGCUAGUCUUCUAACUUAGACUAAAAUAUAUGACUCCUUCUCGCCAAUCCUCCAGCCCUUAUAUUAUGUUAAAAAGAGAACCACCUUCAAAAUUCUUUUACUUGGACAUCAUUCAGUUUAUUCUCUCUCCCCCACAUAUCAGUGUAGCUCAUUCUCAAAAUAUUAACCUACAUGUAAUCUCCGUUCAUAAUCAAAUGUAUUUUUGCUCCAGAUACCCAGAAUAAAACACAGAUGGAAGAUCGUGCUUUCUCUGUUAUAGGACCAAAACUCUGGAAUCGACUGCCUAUCCAAUUACACUAAAUUUCAUCAACAGAAAUAUUCAAGUCCCAACUCAAAAUGUAUUUGUUCCUCUCCCAUUAGCAAUUUGAUGGCAUGAAAAGUGUGUUGUGUUCAGGAUAAUUCAAAUUUCUAUUCUUUUUGUAUUUCUAUUUUAUUUCAAGUAUUGUUCAUGUACAUUUUCUUGACGCGCCACAAGCACCGAAAGGUGGACAGAUGCGCAAUAUAAUUUAUUAUAAUUAUUAUCAUGAUUUAAGAAAUCACAUCUCAAGAUUUAUUAAUCUGAAUUGCAAACUUUUUAUAAUGUUCAAAUGUGGAGUCCACAGGUCAAAAGUCCAAAGACACUGAUCAUAUAUUCCAAUUGGUUUAAAAGAUAUCAGACCACAUUUAAUGCUGGUAUUUUUUUUAUGUGUAGGUAGAUGACAUAAAUAAGUAAACAUGUCAAGUUUGAAUUUGGAGUCUGCAGGUCAAAGGUCACAUUUUAUUAAAACUACAAAAUGAAUAAUUGUGUGAAGCGCAGGCACCUGUGUCUUUUAGACAUAUCAAAUUUCUAACUUUCGUAGAAGUGGAUAUUAACAAGUAGUGAAUAUUUUGUAUCAUACUAGUUGAAUUACUGGAUGUAGCUGGAAAUUAAAAGUUGUUUUUGUCAAUUUGCAAAGUACAUGUUGUAUGCAUUUAGAAGUCCAUGAGUUGAUUGUUAUGAUCUAUAUAGUAUUUUAGAUGUUUAUGUUUGUAGUAAAAUUAAUUUCAAUAGAGCAAUUCAAUAUUCUGAAACUGGAGUACGUAUCACAUGCAUGCAGCCUAAUCAAUGACGGACCAAGAGUAUAGCGUGUGUAAAUAUUAUUUGAAAAUUAUGCUUAUUUUCAUUUUGAGAUGUUCUAUUAAAUACAUUUACUAUACUAACACAGAA
Molecule: RNA transcript, 3587 nt
Organism: Lytechinus pictus (painted urchin)
Lineage: Eukaryota; Metazoa; Echinodermata; Echinoidea; Temnopleuroida; Toxopneustidae
Gene name: melatonin receptor type 1B-A-like
Exons: 3
Source: RefSeq, a predicted model, not a curated record